RNAcentral lists this ribosomal RNA (256 nucleotides) under uncultured bacterium. Its description in RNAcentral is "partial 16S ribosomal RNA". It matches the Rfam family "Bacterial small subunit ribosomal RNA", at positions 521 to 776 of the family's 1533-position model. The record is from RNAcentral.
UAAUACGAAGGGGGCUAGCGUUGUUCGGAAUUACUGGGCGUAAAGCGCGCGUAGGCGGCGACCUUUGUCAGAGGUGAAAUCCCGAGGCUCAACUUCGGAAUUGCCUUUGAAACGGGGUUGCUUGAGUCCGAGAGAGGAUGGCGGAAUUCCUAGUGUAGAGGUGAAAUUCGUAGAUAUUAGGAAGAACACCGGUGGCGAAGGCGGCCAUCUGGCUCGGUACUGACGCUCAGGCGCGAAAGCGUGGGGAUCAAACAGG